GAGGAAUAUUGGUCAAUGGGCGAGAGCCUGAACCAGCCAAGUCGCGUGAAGGAUGACUGUCUUAUGGAUUGUAAACUUCUUUUAUACGGGAAUAACAAGAGUCACGUGUGACUCCCUGCAUGUACCGUAUGAAUAAGCAUCGGCUAACUCCGUGCCAGCAGCCGCGGUAAUACGGAGGAUGCGAGCGUUAUCCGGAUUUAUUGGGUUUAAAGGGUGCGUAGGCGGCCUGUUAAGUCAGCGGUGAAAUCUAGGAGCUUAACUCCUAAAUUGCCAUUGAUACUGGCGGGCUUGAGUGUAGAUGAGGUAGGCGGAAUGCGUGGUGUAGCGGUGGAAUGCAUAGAUAUCACGCAGAACUCCGAUUGCGAAGGCAGCUUACUAAGGUACAACUGACGCUGAAGCACGAAAGCGUGGGUAUCAAACAGGAUUAGAUACCCUGGUAGUCCACGCAGUAAACGAUGAUAACUGGGCGUAUGCGAUAUACAGUAUGCUCCUAAGCGAAAGCGUUAAGUUAUCCACCUGGGGAGUACGCCGGCAACGGCG
This 540-nucleotide ribosomal RNA is filed under the name uncultured bacterium. RNAcentral's name for it is "bacterial SSU rRNA". It matches the Rfam family "Bacterial small subunit ribosomal RNA", at positions 356 to 896 of the family's 1533-position model. The record is from RNAcentral.